GGGAUAUUUCGUCCAGCACUGCGAACACUUUUAUUAGGACGAAUUGAAUCCACCAGCAAGAGAAGAUGUGCUCUGAAGUACUGUCGAAGUGCGACACAUGUGUGAUAUGCUAUCUGCUUCUCAGAAGCAGUCAGAACCUCUGGUGGUGAUCUGUCACUCCGUAAUGACCCUGAAGCAGUUAAUGCCCCCGAAGAAGCUCCAGACCUCACUAAUGCAGCAUCUUGCAAGAGAUUAAGCAUUUUCUGUAAACCAUCCUGAGCAUCAAAAGCAUCUACGACAGCUCUGAAAACAAAUGAAGCCGCAAAAAACAAGGCAGAAUUUUUUCUGGCUAGAUCUUGAGGACAUUCAAGAAGCUGAAGCGCCAACUCAACCACCUGAUGUAUAAUGC
RNAcentral lists this unclassified non-coding RNA (388 nucleotides) under Hevea brasiliensis (rubber tree). The record is from RNAcentral. Lineage: Eukaryota; Viridiplantae; Streptophyta; Magnoliopsida; Malpighiales; Euphorbiaceae.